This 590-nucleotide small RNA is filed under the name Candidatus Cryptoclostridium obscurum. Lineage: Bacteria; Bacillati; Bacillota; Clostridia. The record is from RNAcentral.
AAUAUAAACAGGUGAUGCGGUAUUCUAGUCAGCAAUUCUUUGUCUGAAGGCGGGCCUAAAAAUCCGUUAAGAGCACAUCGAUGAAGUUUCUGGUGUUGGCUUCUUACGCCCAGUUUGGGGCUGAUACUGGAAGUUAAGGUUAUAGGGGAACCAUCAAUGGCAUGAUGAUCUUACCCUGUUUCCGUGGAGACCCAAAACUGUGGGGAACUUUUUUUGGUCGGAAAGGGAACUAUGGCUUGGGAAGAACCUGCAUUCGGAUGCACUGGGUGCAGUGUAGCUUGACUUGCGUGGUUAAGGUGGAAUAUCAGAACAGCUUGGAUGAUCACCCGGACCAAGGUUUUAUCCGAGUUAUGAAACCGGUACUGCAAAAGAGUCUAAGACAUCGAGGCGCUGCCGAGGAAAACUCCUAGACCGUUUAUUUUAUAAGGCUUAACCGGGAUUAAAGUACGGACUAAGUGGCAAUCCGGUACCGUUAAGGAUUUUUGAGUAAAGGGAAACCGCCCCACCGGCGACGGUGAGGUUCAAAAAUGGGAAAGCCUUCCGGACCAAAGCCGUAGCGUUUACCGGCGAAGUUGUCACCUGUUUUAUCU